AGAACGAACGCUGGCGGCGUGGAUAAGACAUGCAAGUCGAACGGGAUUAUUUUUGUAGCAAUACAGAAAUAAUUCAGUGGCGAACGGGUGCGUAACACGUGGGCAAUCUGCCGAAAAGUGGGGGAUAGCUCGCCGAAAGGCGAAUUAAUACCGCAUGUGGUGAGGGACGACAUCUUCCUGAAUCCAAAGCCGGGGCAACCUGGCGCUUUUUGAGGAGCCCGCGGCCUAUCAGCUAGUUGGUGAGGUAACGGCUCACCAAGGCUUUGACGGGUAGCUGGUCUGAGAGGACGACCAGUCACACUGGAACUGAGACACGGUCCAGACACCUACGGGUGGCAGCAGUCGAGAAUUUUCACAAUGGGGGAAACCCUGAUGGAGCGACGCCGCGUGGGGAUGAAUGGCUUCGGCCCGUAAACCCUGUCAUUCGCGAACAAUGCUCAUGGUAUAACACAUCAUGAGUUGAUAGUAGCGGAAGAGGAAGGGACGGCUAACGUCUAGU
Molecule: ribosomal RNA, 499 nt
Filed under: uncultured bacterium
Lineage: Bacteria
Description: SSU rRNA
Rfam family: Bacterial small subunit ribosomal RNA
Source: RNAcentral